GAGACCCUUCCUCAAUCAGGAUUUGUACGUCGCAAUGUUGAGUAAGAAAAUUAAAAAAAUUUUACUCGAGAAAUGCCUUUUUCAGUCAAAUUAUGGUGUCGCCAUUUUAAGUACAACCAAAAAAGGAAAUCUAAAUGAAGAAAUGACUUUAGAAAGAAGCAUUUCUACAGAAGUUUAAAAGAGAAAAAAGCAAAUUUAAUAGAGCUUGAAGAAGGAUAUCAAUGGAAGGACUCCCCUAGAUGGAUCUUGACGCUGGGAUGAGGAAGAAGCUCUUAAUGCACGUUAGCUAUGCUUUCUUUUCUUUUUC
Molecule: long non-coding RNA, 307 nt
Filed under: Carica papaya (papaya)
Lineage: Eukaryota; Viridiplantae; Streptophyta; Magnoliopsida; Brassicales; Caricaceae
Description: long non-coding RNA (CPAP_LNC014453)
Source: RNAcentral